GAGUGGCGAACGGGUGAGUAACACGUGGGUAACCUGCCCAUCAGAAGGGGAUAACACUUGGAAACAGGUGCUAAUACCGUAUAACAAUCAAAACCGCAUGGUUUUGAUUUGAAAGGCGCUUUCGGGUGUCGCUGAUGGAUGGACCCGCGGUGCAUUAGCUAGUUGGUGAGGUAACGGCUCACCAAGGCCACGAUGCAUAGCCGACCUGAGAGGGUGAUCGGCCACAUUGGGGCUGAGACACGGCCCAAACUCCUACGGGAGGCAGCAGUAGGGAAUCUUCCACAAUGGACGCAAGUCUGAUGGAGCAACGCCGCGUGAGUGAAGAAGGGUUUCGGCUCGUAAAGCUCUGUUGGUAGUGAAGAAAGAUAGAGGUAGUAACUGGCCUUUAUUUGACGGUAAUUACUUAGAAAGUCACGGCUAACUACGUGCCAGCAGCCGCGGUAAUACGUAGGUGGCAAGCGUUGUCCGGAUUUAUUGGGCGUAAAGCGAGUGCAGGCGGUUCAAUAAGUCUGAUGUGAAAGCCUUCGGCUCAACCGGAGAAUUGCAUCAGAAACUGUUGAACUUGAGUGCAGAAGAGGAGAGUGGAACUCCAUGUGUAGCGGUGGAAUGCGUAGAUAUAUGGAAGAACACCAGUGGCGAA
This 640-nucleotide ribosomal RNA is filed under the name uncultured Bacilli bacterium. RNAcentral's name for it is "bacterial SSU rRNA". It matches the Rfam family "Bacterial small subunit ribosomal RNA", at positions 93 to 719 of the family's 1533-position model. The record is from RNAcentral. Lineage: Bacteria; Bacillati; Bacillota; Bacilli.